CCCUUAGAUGUCCUGGGCCGCACGCGCGCUACACUGACAUGUUCAACAAGCCUCCUAGUUCGACAGGAUUUGGGAAAUCUUUGAACGCAUGUCGUGAUAGGGAUAGAUCAUUGCAAUUAUUGAUCUUGAACGAGGAAUUCCUAGUAAACGCGAGUCAUCAGCUCGCAUUGAUUACGUCCCUGUCCUUUGUACACACCGCCCGUCGCACCUACCGAUUGAAUGUUUCGGUGAAGAUUCCGGAUAGGACUUUUUUGAUUUAUUUCAAUUUUGUCUUAAAAGCUAUCUAAACCUCAACAUUUAGAGGAAGGUGAAGUCGUAACA
RNAcentral lists this ribosomal RNA (321 nucleotides) under uncultured eukaryote. RNAcentral describes it as "partial 18S ribosomal RNA". It matches the Rfam family "Eukaryotic small subunit ribosomal RNA", at positions 1470 to 1796 of the family's 1831-position model. The record is from RNAcentral.